ACCGCUGGCGGCGUGCCUAACACAUGCAAGUCGAACGAGAAAGUCCGGUGUUGUAGCAAUACAAUACUGGGUGAGUAAAGUGGCGACCGGGUGAGUAACACGUGGAUAACCUACCUCCGAGCGGGGAAUAACCCUGGGAAACCGGGGCUAAUACCGCAUGACAUCCUGGUACGAUGGUAGCGGGAUUGAAACCUGGAAACGGGGCUUGGAGAGGGGUCCGCGGCCGAUUAGCUAGUUGGUGAGGUAACGGCCCACCAAGGCUGUGAUCGGUAGCCGGCCUGAGAGGGCGGACGGCCACACUGGAACUGAAACACGGUCCAGACUCCUACGGGAGGCAGCAGUGGGGAAUUUUGCGCAAUGGGGGAAACCCUGACGCAGCAACGCCGCGUGGAUGAUGAAGCCCCUUGGGGUGUAAAAUCCUUUCGGCAGGGACGAAACCCGAGCAAUCGGGCGGACGGUACCUGAAGAAGAAGCCCCGGCUAACUCCGUGCCAGCAGCCGCGGUAAUACGGGGGGGGCGAGCGUUGUUCGGAAUUAUUGGGCGUAAAGGGAGCGUAGGCGGUGCGGUAAGUCUGGUGUGAAACCUCUGGGCUCAACCCGGAGCUGGCAUCAGAAACUGCCGUGCUAGAGUGCGGGAGAGGAGAGUGGAAUUCCCGGUGUAGCGGUGAAAUGCGUAGAUAUCGGGAGGAACAUCGGUGGCGAAGGCGGCUCUCUGGACCGCAACUGACGCUGAGGCUCGAAAGCUAGGGGAGCAAACAG
RNAcentral lists this ribosomal RNA (758 nucleotides) under uncultured Acidobacteriota bacterium. RNAcentral describes it as "bacterial SSU rRNA". It matches the Rfam family "Bacterial small subunit ribosomal RNA", at positions 32 to 775 of the family's 1533-position model. The record is from RNAcentral. Lineage: Bacteria; Pseudomonadati; Acidobacteriota.